RNAcentral lists this ribosomal RNA (497 nucleotides) under uncultured bacterium. RNAcentral describes it as "partial 16S ribosomal RNA". It matches the Rfam family "Bacterial small subunit ribosomal RNA", at positions 28 to 507 of the family's 1533-position model. The record is from RNAcentral.
GAUGAACGCUGGCGGCGUGCCUAAUACAUGCAAGUCGAGCGAACGGACGAGAAGCUUGCUUCUCUGAUGUUAGCGGCGGACGGGUGAGUAACACGUGGAUAACCUACCUAUAAGACUGGGAUAACUUCGGGGAACCGGAGCUAAUACCGGAUGAUAUUUUGUACCGCAUGGUUCAAAAGUGAAAGACGGUCUUGCUGUCUCUUUUAGAUGGAUUCGCGCUGCAUUAGCUAGUUGGUAAGGUAACGGCUUACCAAGGCAACGAUGCAUAGCCGACCUGAGAGGGUGAUCGGCCACACUGGAACUGAGACACGGUCCAGACUCCUACGGGAGGCAGCAGUAGGGAAUCUUCCGCAAUGGGCGAAAGCCUGACGGAGCAACGCCGCGUGAGUGAUGAAGGUCUUCGGAUCGUAAAACUCUGUUAUUAGGGAAGAACAUAUGUGUAAGUAACUGUGCACAUCUUGACGGUACCUAAUCAGAAAGCCACGGCUAACUACGUG